Molecule: long non-coding RNA, 718 nt
Organism: Trichomycterus rosablanca
Lineage: Eukaryota; Metazoa; Chordata; Actinopteri; Siluriformes; Trichomycteridae
Exons: 5
Source: RefSeq, a predicted model, not a curated record
CUAGAUUCUUCUGUACUCUUGAUUAUAUUACUGUGGUGUUACCAUAUCUACCCAUCAUCAGCAGACUUAAUCACCAUUCUCAGCAAGAGAACAUCCUGCUGAAAUCCACACCUGAUUGAUUUACGCACAACCAUGGAACAAGCAGAGAAUAAAACCAUAUCACCACAGAAGCAGACGGUCAAAAACAGGUCCAAAUCAACAGAUGAGGUGCAGCAAGCCAAAAAGGCCUUUCAUACACCACAGAAGUCUCUUCCUGCUCAACCAGAAACAGAGAAGAUGGAGGAAGAAGCCAGGGAGCUUACUGCUUCAUCAGAGGAGCUGAAGUGAUGGCACCACUCACACAUGAGUUACAGAAAUACUCAUGUAAAUUUGCUUUGUUGUACCAUUGUAGCUUUUGUCAUUAAACACAAAUUCAUUUUCAAAUUUGUUAGUCAAGUAUUGAGCAUGUCACAAUUCAGCUGCAAACCAGUGAGCAGAUGCUUCAAUUUCAUAUUUUUCCAACACAAAGUCUAAUCAUUAGUCCUGAAUAUGAUUCCUUUCUUACUUAUUAAUUUAUUUGCUUAUUUCAGCUUUGAUCGGCCGAAUUCAUACUGACAGUAAUUUUGGCCAGACUUAGUCUAUAUUUGGAAAACAAGCCCUGUAUUAAAAAUGUAAAAUGUUUACUCCUUGUUUGUUUAUGAAGAAAACAAGCAUUAUAAAGAAUUAUUGCUGAAUAUCA